UUCAUACUGAAUUAAUGGCGAUUUCAAACUGCAGUGUAAAAUUUUCCUCCACGGAAGCAGGUAUCCUUAUGCACAUUGGUUGCAGUCUGCGUUUGCGAUUUCGCGUACAAAUGACUGCGUAUGACACGUGACAUUACAACCACAAAGAGCAUUUGAAAAAUCUCUCCGACACCCCAGAACCAAAACAACGCAGAUAAACUUUCCUUGGCUCUUUGAAGCCAUAAUUUUGAAAGUUAGCUAAAAACGUAGCAGCCCCUGGACCGACCCGCAAUGGAGCGCAGCUGAAGAAGUUGCCGAUGAGGCACGGCGAUGUCACGUUACGACUCCUUCGUUCCUUCGUUUGUUUGUUUGUUUGUUUGUUCAUCUCUUGUUC
Molecule: non-coding RNA, 373 nt
Organism: Zootermopsis nevadensis
Lineage: Eukaryota; Metazoa; Arthropoda; Insecta; Blattodea; Termopsidae
Source: RefSeq, a predicted model, not a curated record